GACGAACGCUGGCGGCGUGCUUAACACAUGCAAGUCGAACGGAGAUGCCCCAGCUUGCUGGGGUGCACCAGUGGCGAACGGGUGAGUAACACGUGAGUAACCUGCCCCAGACUCUGGGAUAACCUCUGGAAACGGCGGCUAAUACCGGAUACGAGACUCUCCUGCAUGGGCGGGGUUUGGAAAUUUCUUCGGUUGGGGAUGGGCUCGCGGCCUAUCAGCUUGUUGGUGGGGUAAUGGCUUACCAAGGCUUUGACGGGUAGCCGGCCUGAGAGGGCGACCGGCCACACUGGGACUGAGACACGGCCCAGACUCCUACGGGAGGCAGCAGUGGGGAAUAUUGCACAAUGGGCGGAAGCCUGAUGCAGCGACGCCGCGUGAGGGAUGACGGCCUUCGGGUUGUAAACCGCUUUCGGCAGGGAAGAAGCGAGAGUGACGGUACCUGCUAAAGAAGCACCGGCUAACUACGUG
This 468-nucleotide ribosomal RNA is filed under the name uncultured bacterium. Its description in RNAcentral is "partial 16S ribosomal RNA". It matches the Rfam family "Bacterial small subunit ribosomal RNA", at positions 28 to 507 of the family's 1533-position model. The record is from RNAcentral.